Small nuclear RNA from Zalophus californianus (California sea lion), 110 nucleotides. NCBI's taxonomy places the organism in Eukaryota, Metazoa, Chordata, Mammalia, Carnivora, Otariidae. The record is from Ensembl.
UUUGUGGUUGCUUCUAUAAAAAAUAAAAUAAAAUUGGAAUGAUACAGAAAAGAUUAGCAUGGUCCCUGCAUAAGGAUGAUGGACAAGUUCAUGAAGAGAAGAGUUUAAUA